Molecule: ribosomal RNA, 486 nt
Filed under: uncultured bacterium
Lineage: Bacteria
Description: partial 16S ribosomal RNA
Rfam family: Bacterial small subunit ribosomal RNA
Source: RNAcentral
AUUGGACGCUGGCGGCAUGCCUUACACAUGCCAGUCGAACGGCAGCACGGGUGCUUGCACCUGGUGGCGAGUGGCGAACGGGUGAGUAAUACAUCGGAACAUGUCCUGUAGUGGGGGAUAGCCCGGCGAAAGCCGGAUUAAUACCGCAUACGAUCUACGGAUGAAAGCGGGGGACCUUCGGGCCUCGCGCUAUAGGGUUGGCCGAUGGCUGAUUAGCUAGUUGGUGGGGUAAAGGCCUACCAAGGCGACGAUCAGUAGCUGGUCUGAGAGGACGACCAGCCACACUGGGACUGAGACACGGCCCAGACUCCUACGGGAGGCAGCAGUGGGGAAUUUUGGACAAUGGGCGAAAGCCUGAUCCAGCAAUGCCGCGUGUGUGAAGAAGGCCUUCGGGUUGUAAAGCACUUUUGUCCGGAAAGAAAUCCUUGGCCCUAAUACGGUCGGGGGAUGACGGUACCGGAAGAAUAAGCACCGGCUAACUACGUG